Molecule: long non-coding RNA, 937 nt
Filed under: Meriones unguiculatus (Mongolian gerbil)
Lineage: Eukaryota; Metazoa; Chordata; Mammalia; Rodentia; Muridae
Description: lncRNA (ENSMUGG00000026543.1)
Source: RNAcentral
AAUCUACCUAGCUACAUGUGCGUCACUGCUACAUAGACUGGGGAUUGGCUGAUUCUGAGCUACAUUUUUCUCCCCGCCCCCGGUGUUUUCCAAGGAGGGCUCUCGAGGGAGCCGAACCACAAUCCCCAGAAUUCAUUGGGCCUUCUGGAGAGGAAGACUAAACUGAGCGUGCGGAGAAGGGAGGUGGCGGAAGCCGGAAGUUUAAAGCCGGCUCUCGCCUUAGUAGGCGGGUCUUCGCAGGGGCUGGCGGGUCAGGGACGGGGCAGCGCGCCGGUGGUCGUGACGCUCGGUGUUCGGGCCUGCCUCUUCCCCGCUUCGGCCGCGCGAGUGGCGGACAGAGUGGGAAUCCCUGAGACGCGGCCGAGCUGCAGCAUCCAGCCCAACCGCGCAGCCCAUCGCCCGCUUCUCACGGCCCCUCCAGGGCGCCUCUCCGCGGUCUUCGCCAGCUUCUGCCGACCUAACAGAAUACGGGUCCGUCAUAGCUUACCUUCGUCGGCUCCGUUAGGCAGGAGUAUCUCCUAAGAGGGCUAAAUGGCGGAAGCUGAGGGGCAGACAUGCCAACCGCCAAGCAGCUCGCCGACAUUGGCUACAAGACCUUCUCCGCUUCCAUGAUGCUCCUCACCGUGUACGGGGGCUACCUCUGCAGCGUGCGAGCCUACCGCUUCUUCCAGCUGCGCAGCGCCAGGCGCCAGGCUGCAGAAGAACAGAAGUCCUCAGGGGUCCUGUAGAGCCCAGUCUUCCCCUCUGAGCAGGGAGGCUUGAACAUGGACUGGAAAAGACCUCCCUGGCAUGCCAUCUGUGGCAAGAGCUAGGCCACGAUGAUUCGAGUCUGAAGGGCAAAAGUACCGUGGUUUCCGAAGCAGCACUGCCUUGUGCCCUUCUGACAGUUUGUGGAGGCCAUCAAAUAAAUGGGAAUAAGAGGGUGAGGUUUAUUACA